This 8204-nucleotide long non-coding RNA is filed under the name Sus scrofa (pig). RNAcentral describes it as "lncRNA (ENSSSCG00040017642.1)". The stretch from base 4712 to 4785 matches the Rfam family "tRNA". The record is from RNAcentral. Lineage: Eukaryota; Metazoa; Chordata; Mammalia; Artiodactyla; Suidae.
UUUUUUUUUUUUUUUUUUUUUUUAGGGCCGCACCUGUGGCAUAUGGAGGUUCCCAGGCUAGGGGUCUAAUCAGAUCUGUUGCCGCCGGCCUACACCAGAGCCACAGCAACGCCAGGUCUGAGCCGCAUCUUCGACCUCCACCACAGUUCCUGGCAACGGCGGAUCCUUAACACACUGAGCAAGGCCAGCGAUCAAACCUGCAACCUCAUGGAUACGAGUCAGAUUCCUUUCCCCUGUGCCACAACAGGAACUCCCCUAGCAGAUCAUGUUUAAAGAUCUUUCUAUAUAUGGCCAACUUAUUUUGGGGGUCAUAGUUAAGUUUGCCGUCUCAGGAGCAGCAUAAGCAAAGAUACAUCAUGGACUUCCCAGAACUAAGUAGUAUCCACUUAGCUUUUUAAAUGUCUUCAAAACACAUUAUCUUUUUCUAAAUCUGAAUUUCACAAAGUAAGGUUGAACUUUUUAAUUCAUAUAUUGUUUGGUCAUUUGUAUUACCACUUCUGAAUUUCCUGUUCAUAUCUUUUUAUUUUUCCUUUUUGGUGUAUUGCUUGUCACAGUCCCAUUUUCCUUUCAAUUUUACUUAUAUCAGUGAUGAACAAAAGUAAAAUUUAUGCUCAUAAUCAGCCUUUUUUUUUUUUUUUUUUUUUUGUCUUUUGUCUUUUUAGGGGCCACACCCAUGGCAUAGCUAAGUAUGGGUGCUGUAGCCACCAGCCUACGCCAGAGACACAGCAACACGUGGGAUAGGUGCCGCGUCUGCGACCUACACCACAGCUCACAGCAACACCAGAUCCUUAACCCACUGAGCAAGGCCAGGGAUCGAACCCGCAACCUCAUGGUUCCUAGUCGGAUUUGUUAACCACUGAGCCACGACGGGAACUCAUGAUUUUUGUUUUUCUUUUUAUGGCCACACCUGUGGCAUACGGAAGUCCCUGGGCUAAGGGUGAAUCAGAGCUGCAGCUGCUGGUCUACACCACAGCCACAGCAACACCAGAACUGGAGCCACAUUUCAGAGAGGCCAGGGAUCGAACCCACAUCAUCCUCAUCAACACCAUGUCGGGUUCUAAACCCUCUAAGCCACAUCGGGAACUCCCUACAAACUCCAUGAAAACAUGGAUUGUAUCUUGACCAGGUAAAGAAAGUAACACAGGAGGAGAGAGUCUAGACUUGAGAGAGAGAAAAUUCCAAAUUUGAGUCCCAGCUGGGUAUCCUCAGACAAGUCACUCAACCUUUCUGAGCAGCAGCUUCUCCCAUGGCAACACAGACACAGACACAUGCCUUAGGGGUUGCAGCAACCUUGCCAUGGGAUAUGCAUGUAAAACACCCAAGAGAAAUGGGGUUAUCAGUAUGACUAGCCCUUCAUCUCCCUGUGGCCAUAACACAAAUUCCUGCAGGACUGGUGGACUUCCUGUUUGUUUUGGCCCACCCUGCUGCACUCAGAGAAGCCCAAGCCUGCUCUGCCCACAGCCAUGUCUCCUGCCAAAAGCUAACAGAAGGAUGACAGCCAUAGCUGGGGCCUAGGAAGGGCUUCUGAGACAAAGCCCUGGAGGGCAGCCCUAAGGCACCACCAGAACCGGGGUGGUACAGUCUGGGAAUGGGAGGGAGUUGGGGGGUCAGAGAGCAGGAGCCAAACCCUGAGAAUAAGUAACUGCACAUCACAGGUCACAGAGUCCCGAGUGUCUCAAGCCAGACCCCAAAUCCAGGACUGGUGAGAGGGCCCAUUUUAUUUACUUAUUUAUUUAUUGCUUUUUAGGGCCGCACCCACGGCAUAUGGAGGUGCCCAGGCUAGGGUGUUAAAUCGGAGCUGUAGCUGCUGGUCUACACCACAGCCACAGCAACAUCAGAUCUGAGCCGCGUCUGCGACCUGCACCACAGCUCAUGGCAAUGCCGGAUCCAUGACCCACUGAGCGAGGCAAGGGAUCGAACCUUCGUCCUUGUGAUGCUGGUCAGAUUUGUUUCCACUGAGCCAUGACGGGAACUGAGGACCCAUUUUAAAGGUGGGCAAGAUGAGCCCCAGAAAGCUGAAUAGCCGUUCUUAAAGGAGCUUGGAAAGGCAUCCACCCAUCGUCCCAGGAGCCCUGACCUACAGAAGGUGCUUAAUUGGGCCACCAGCAUGUGUUGAACUAAAGCUUCCUUAAGCAGCUGUGCACCCUGCAAUUCACCUUCGUCACAGGCAUGACAGCUUCACUCAUGGAUCUGACCCCAUCAGCAUCUGAGUGUACCACCUUGGACGAACAGGACUUCAUGGAAUUUUCACAGUCAGCGUAGGGUACCGUUACCCAGUUUAAUAGCAGAGGCCCAGACCAAGCACCGAGCUCAACAGGAUUAAGGAGUGAAGUCCUGGCAGAGCAGGUCCUUCCACAAUGGCCCAACAACUGGAUUGGGCACUGGGAGGUGGAAGAGGGUGGAAGAGAGUCUUUAGAGGAAAAGAGGCCCAUGGGAUCUGGCAGCAGACCCCCCCCCCCCACCGCCCCCGGGCUCUCAAAUCCUGACUCCCGAUCUCUGGCCCCAUGCAUCAGCACCCCACUCACCACCAGGAAUCCCCAGGACAAGCCCUGCCCUAGAAGGGCUGUCCCUUUAAGGCUCUGGUGGGCAGACCCAGCCUUUUCCAUGGAGCUGACACAGUGCUGUUUCUCUGUCAUCCAAAUUCCAGGCCGAAACAGGAAGUGAGUCGCCACCGGAGAAUGUGGGACUCCCAGCCUAAGGGACAGGCUCAAGGCCAAUGCUGGGUCCCUACAGGGGUCAGGCCUUUGGGAGGGUCAGGCCUUUGCCAGGUGCAUGGCUCUUGGGUGAAGGAACACCAGUAUCUGCUUGCGUCACUAAUAGUAUGCAACUGAGAGACGUUCUCAAACUCAAUCCAAGUUCAUCCAAGUUGACCAGAUCACACAGGGAUCUUUCAGUCCCCAUCCAGGCCCCCAAAAUGAAAGCGUCAGGUAAUCUACACGCUCAUAUUCCUGGACGGUAGUUAACCCAGGCCAUCCCCACUCUGCAAGAGGACACUGAGGCUCCAGUUAAGGUAAUCUGCCCAUGGUCCCAAUCCUCGUGAAUUUGAUCCACCUGGACGUGGAAUGCUCAGGCGCCUUCUACACAGGGCGGAAGCAGACAGAUGUGGGUUCAGAUCCUGGCUGAGGCACCACCUGAAGCUUCUGGUGCCUCUGUCUUAUCUGUCAAAUGGGGAUCCCCUCAUCCUAUCAACAAGUAUUUCCUCCCGGAUGUCUGCUCGGUGGCAGGCACAGUGACAGGUAAAGGGCCCACGACACAGUCCAGGAAAGGCAGACGCAGCUCAAAAGUAAACCAGUAAAUGAAAUGACCACCGGAUGAGAACAAGGGCUUGAGAGGAUGGUGGGGAAGGGCCGCUGAGCUGCGUGAACACAAACCAGGAAGAGUAAAGGGGCGGCCUUCGCCACCAAUGGGUCAAAGGGAGGAAAUCAAAAUCCAGCACCCCUAAGACCUGGAGCAAAAGCUCAUAAGGAUGGGCCUCUGGGGAAGGGUCCAGUGCGGUGACCACCCCCACACCCCGCCCGGUACGACCUGCUAGGUCAUGCCCAGGAAGGGGACGCCCAGGCCGCCACCUUCGGAGAACGCCAGCGCGGGUGACAGCACUGCGGCCUCGGGCCCUGGUCCUCCCUAGCCUGGGACAGAGCCGGCUCGCGGCCCAGAGCCUGGAAACGACCCCCCUGAGCCUUGAGGCCCCCACCCCCGGCGGCGUAAGCCCCUGUGAGGAGGAAACAAGCCCCAGCGGGGACGCGCUGGCCGCCUACCCUGUCGGCGCUCGGGCUUCCUGAGCUGGAGGCGCGCCCGCUGCGCGGGGCCUAGCGAGCGGGUUUAAAGCGGGGUUCACUGCGCAGCUCCGUCUCCCGCACGUCGGGUCCCAGGCGGCGCCGCUGGGCACAGCCCACCCCUUCCCUCCGUGGUGGUCCCUCGCCGACCCCUCCUCCCCAGAGCGCCCCCUCUGGCCUGGGGGCCUCGGCGGCCCUGCGGCCUCGCAGCAGCCGGGAUGAGGCGCUUGGUGCUCACUGGAAGCCAGGGCCCCUUCCCGUGCGGCACCGCCUCAUCCCGCCCUCACCAACAAGCCCCUCACCAGCGGGAAACCGAGGCCUGGGUGGGUGAGUGGGUGACUGGCCACGAGGUUCCAGGCGCCCCGCACACGCGCCGGGCAGCGGCCACCCAAGUCUCACUCUUCCUCAUCCGGAAAGUGCAGCUGGCGGACCUGCCUACGAGGAGCUUUUCGUUGCAAUAUUCAUGACUAACACAAGGUCCACAUCUGUAGGGGCGGGUGAGGGAAGAGCUCUAACCUAUUUUAACUGAAAACAAAAAUGCAGUUGAAAGCGCUUGUGACCUUUUAUAUAGUUUCUCGAGAACACAUAUAUUCAAGUACAUGCGUAGCAAUUCUUUUUCAUGUGCACCCAGUCACUCUGGAUGAGGUAGGGAGGCUUAGGGUCUGCAGGGAUGGGAGGAGGUGCACUCCACCCUCAUUUUCUGGAAUGCUCUUCCAAACUGAGUUAAUGCAAUGGCUGGCAUUGCUCGGGGACCAGAGUCCUUUGUUUUCUGCUGUUUUCAUCAGCCUUGGCCCUGCUUCCCUCAUGGUCGCAGGCCACACAACUCCAGGCUCAACUACACACAGGAUGACAUCCAGGAGACAUUUCACCUUGAACUUUUUCGUACUAUUUUUCUAAGUGCACGUAUUAUGGAUGUACAAUGUACACUGAGGUGGAGUUCUCUCGUGGUCUAGCAGGUUAAGGACCCAGCAUUAUCACUGCUGCAGUGCAGGUUCAACCCUGGCCCAGGGAACUUCCACAUGCCAGUGUGGCCAAAAACAAAAACAAACUAAACAGAGCUAACCAGGUAGUAGCACUUAGGAUCCACUUUUACUUUAUCCUUUAAUUUACCUUCUUUACAAAGAGAAACAGAAUCCCCACCCGAGACCUUUGGAUUCAGUGUGGAGGUGGGUCGUUCAGGAACCUGUUUUGAUUUUUGGUUUGUUUUUUCUAGGGUGCACCCGAGGCUUGUGGAAGUUCCCAGGCUAGAGGUUGAAUCAGAGCAAUAGCUGCGAUCCUUCGCCACAGCCACAGCGACCACACCACAGCUCACGGCACUGUGGGAUCCUUAACCCACUGAGCGAACUCAGGAUGAAUGUGUGUGUGUAUGUGUGUGCGGUGUGUGUGUGUGUGUGUGUGUGUCUUUUCUAGGGCUGCUUCCCGCGGCAUAUGGAGGUUCCCAGGCUAGGGGUCCACUCAGAGCUGUAGCUGCUGGCCUACACCACAGCCACAGCAACUCGGGAUCCGAGCUGUGUCUGCGACCCCACACCACAGCUCAUGGCAACACCGGAUCCUUAACCCACUAAGCAAGGCCAAGAAUUGAACCUUCAACCUUAUGGUGCCUAGUCGGAUUCACUAACCACUGAGCCACAUCGAGAACUCCAGGAACCUGUAUUUUUAAACCUCUCCCAAGGUGACACAGCCCUGCCAGGUGCAGGAGAGCCACCUCCCGGGACACAGCUGCUUGGUCACUCCUGGUGGGCCAGGAUUCCCAGCGCCCUGGGACCUUGUGAGUAUAAACUUCCUUCCGCCAAGCCCAGUAAGACAGCCUCCCCAGAGGAACAGACUGGUGGUGUCCAGACUUCCUCAAAGCCUGAGGGACUGAAGGUGGCUGGGCAGGCAGCCAAGGGGAGGGGAGGGGUGGAGUCCUCUGACAGCUGCCCUCAGCCUCAGGGCUGGCCCUGAGAAGCCCAGUGCCACUGGCCACCUGCCCAGUCAACAAUCCAGAAAGGGCCAGGCCACAUUCCCCUCUGCACUCUUGGCUGAAUGAACCAGAGGUCCUCAGACAAUGGUUCUGACUGCAGAAGUUUGAAAAAUGCUGCUGCCUAGGUGCCACCCCCAAGGAGGCCCCAGCUAGUUGGUCUGGGGUACACUUGACCACGGCUGAUUCUACUAUGUGCAAGCAGGGCGAGGACCAUGGAACUGGGGGGGAAGAGUGAACAUAAGGAAAGGACUUUGCUGGAGGCGAGUGUAGAACCCAGAAGAGAUCCUGCUCACGCCCCAAAAUGGGGAUUUUAUCCAGAGGGACGAUGGCGGUUACUAUUUCUGGGCUCCUGUGUGUGCUUACCACGUGCCAGCUGUCGUCCAAGGCAUCUUCACCUCUUCCCGGACCUGAGGGAGGGCUCACCUCACUCACCAAGUCCUGCUCUUAACCAGCUGGUUCUUGGAAGACUGUGAAGGCUCACAAAAAAAAAGAGUGAAGACUUUUCAUGAAAACCUAGAAAACUGCAAGCUACUUUACACCUACUCAUUCAAGAAAUGUCCAGCUUUCCUACCCUUUGUGCCUGGUGCUGACGUCCAGAGCUGGGCACUCAAACUGGAUGGGAAAGCACGCAGUAGUUCACAUAGCAUCCUGUUCAGAGAAAUGGCAAGAAACCGAAAAGUGGAGUGCACCACCCUCGGAGAGCUAAGAACUUUCUACAAGUUGUUGCAGUGGUGUGUGGGUCUGUGUGUAUGUGUCCACACUAGGUCUUGAUGGGAAAGGCAUUUCUUAUUGUCAGUCACAGUCCGAAACACUUGAGAAACAGAGACAGAUGGGCAAGAGACAAGCCUUCGUGUACCGAAUAUAAUUGUGUAAGCAAACGCAGUUCUGUUAACCUAAGAAGCCCCCAACUGUAACUGCGUGGUAGUUACAAAUUUCUAGAUACACCUUGAAAUUCACUUUGUGGCCAUGACACCCAAAGUAGAAGAAAUGGGUGAAAAGAGUAUAAACAGCCUUCUCCAUGGUUUGGAAAGCGUCCCCCACUCCCCCAGGAAUUUCAGCCCAGCACCACCAUCACCCCUAAGACCGACCAAUGGUGGGCCUUAAUGUCUUCCUCAAGUCUCGACGGUACAAUAGCACAUACCUUGGUAGAUUUAUGGAGAAAGAUCUCCGGACUAUUAGUCCACGGGGCGCCCAGGGGCUGAAUCGGCCCAGGGAAACCAGGAGUGGAAAGCUGCCCCCAGCAUCCCCAAACCCUUCCUUCUUCUCCGUCAGGCUGCUUAACCGUUUUCAGCCUGCUGAGCAUGCUAGUUGUUGCAGCUGGAUGGAGCCCAGGAUUCCUAGAGCUCUCAAAGGCGGUCCCACGAAUGAUGGGACUUCAGGCCGCUCAGAGCGCACAUCCAGCAGACCUGCAGCAAAGGACCAGCACAGCUACCAUGUACGGCUGUGCCGCAACCAAAUGCAGAGCAAACACGUCGGCCCAGCGUCGCCUGCCCUCGGGUUCGGGGGGCCUGGCUCCCCCAAUUCCAGCAUUAAGGAUGAUCCCCUGUACUUGCUGUCCUGUGGCAUCACCGGUAGGCGCUGGCUUCACUCUGGAAAACAACAUCUCACCCACCUGUGGACAAGCUUUUGUCCUAAAAACUGAUCAUUUCUCAGACUACAAGCUUCACCAAGUGCUUGAUACCGGCCCUCGAUCCGUUUGCAAGACCGGGGCUUCCAUGUUACGGUCUCAUAAAACACUGAACUCUCACGCAGCCACCUGUCAGUCAACCAGCAGCACAGCUUAGUGGUUACAUCCACAAAGGACUAAGCAAAGUGUUGGGAAGGUUACGCUCCAAAACGUUUCAGUUUUUACCUUUGGGGAGGGGUGAAAGAGGACAAGUUGAAAGGGUCUUUAAGGUGAAAUGUCUGACAUUUUAAUUUUCUUCACAAAAAUGCAUGAGUGUUAAUCUCUUCAAUGGCACAUUUAAAAAAAGAAAAAGCUAUCAGAAUUAUUUAGCGUUGAUAUUCCAGACUUAAGGACUCCUCUGAUGAGAAGCAGAUUCAAACAGUAGACGUAAGUCUACUCACAGAAUUCAAGGCACUAAACUUCGCAUUGUUCUUUUUUUUUUUUCUAUUUCAGAGAUGAUGAAACAGAACCCAGAGAGAGAAACUUACCCAGGUUCUCAUACCUAGUAAAUGGUGAAGUCAGCAUUCAAAUCCACAUAAUUUCAAGCAAAGAUUCUUCUUUCAUACAAGGGGGCAGAAGGUAAGUGAACACUGUAAGAUCUUUUCUGUCCACUAGUAGUAGAUACGCAACACCGGCUAAGAUGUAGGGAGAAAAGGCACUCUCAUCACCAUGGUGAUGCAACUAUUAACUGAUCCUCCUACUUUGAUAGGACCGUUCAAUAUUUUAAAUAUGUGAAUUCCUUUGAACCAGCCAUUUCCCCUGCAGAAAUUUAUCCUAGGGAAACCUAAAAAAAAAAAAAAAA